This 212-nucleotide unclassified non-coding RNA is filed under the name plant metagenome. Its description in RNAcentral is "partial contains small subunit ribosomal RNA, internal transcribed spacer 1, and 5.8S ribosomal RNA". The record is from RNAcentral.
UUUCCGUAGGUGAACCUGCGGAAGGAUCAUUCAUAAUAAGUGUUUUAUGGCACUUUUUUAAAUCCAUAUCCACCUUGUGUGCAAUGUCAGGGUUGAUUCUUCUCUCGAGAGGAUCAACCCCAAACAUCAACUAUAUCUCAACUCUUUGUCUGAAAAAUAUUAUGAUAAAACAAUUCAAAAUACAACUUUCAACAACGGAUCUCUUGGCUCUC